This is a long non-coding RNA of Scaptodrosophila lebanonensis, 1095 nucleotides long. RefSeq lists it as uncharacterized. Lineage: Eukaryota; Metazoa; Arthropoda; Insecta; Diptera; Drosophilidae. The record is from RefSeq and is a predicted model, not a curated record. The transcript has 6 exons.
AUUUAGAAAAAUUACAUAAUCAUCAAAUUGAAAUGUGUUGCAUAGUCCCAUAUUUCUGCUGUGCCAGCUGCAAUGCCAGUCUACGUAUUGGAUGUAUUUUCUAUGCCGUUUGGUCAAUUGUUUGGAAAAUACUUCUAGCUUUGAGGUCAUACAUGGAUGCCACCACUCCUUAUGAUAAUCAAGCAGAGGGAGCUGGCAUUUUUAAGACUUGGGAGUCGAUUAGUUAUGCAUCGAUAUUCUUGAGCUUGAUUCUUCUGGCAGGCCCUAUUUGUUUGUUACUUGGCAUGAAGAUGAACAAUAAAGCACUGGUCGUUGUAUCUAUAGUAAUCACAUAUCUGACGGUGGUACUGUACAUUUUUAGUAUACUUUUCCUACCUUUAAUUGCCUUCGAAAUUUACAUGAUUAUUGUGCAGUAUUCAUAUUUAAAAACCGAAAUGUAGAGCAGUUGAAACCAUCUUGAGAUCUAGUGAUUACAAACUAAGGAAUUGUAAAGAGCCGACCUAUUUGUUAAAAGUCCACCAAACACAGACAGAUCUAGGACACAAAAUCUGGCAAAGGUAGAAAGCGUUAAAAACCAAAAUGAUGUUCGCAAAAAAAUAUGCUCAGAGUAUUUUUUAGGACCCUACUCCGUAUGAUGAUCUCAAACUGCAACUAUGCCAGACGUUACCUUUAUCAAUAACGCUUCCGCACUUAUCCUUCCUACACAUGUUAGACUUAGUGUCUACCAUAUCUGAUCCUACGCCAACUACUCUCGUUACUAGACCCGCCGCAUCGCUCAAUACUACAGCUAUUGGCCCUACAGAUACGGAUUUUAUUUUUACUGUGGGAUCCACUUCUGCUAGAUUGGGAGCGUCCAAUCAAUGGAUUCCAAAAUGUAUAUGCCCCAUUUGAAGUAGACAAUUCGCUUGGUAUAAGUUCGAAACAAAUAGCUGGCAUGGCCGCCGAUAUGGACAGAAGAAGCAAUGCCAAGUUUACAAGCCAUUUAACCAGUAUAGUCCGAUCCGCUUUCAAAAAGAAAUAGACAUUACAAUAGACAUAACAAAAAUAUGCUUAAAGUAAUUAUAAAAAUUUGAAAAAAUUAAGAAAACUAAAAAA